GCCAGACUCCUACGGGAGGCAGCAGUGGGGAAUAUUGGGCAAUGGGCGCAAGCCUGACCCAGCAACGCCGCGUGAAGGAAGAAGGCUUUCGGGUUGUAAACUCCUUUUCUCAGGGACGAAGCAAGUGACGGUACCUGAGGAAUAAGCCACGGCUAACUACGUGCCAGCAGCCGCGGUAAUACGUAGGGAGCGAGCGUUGUCCGGAUUUACUGGGUGUAAAGGGUGCGCAGGCGGCUCUGCAAGUCAGGCGUGAAAGCUAGGGGCUCAACCCCUAAACUGCGCUUGAAACUGUGGAGCUUGAGUGAAGUAGAGGCAGGCGGAAUUCCCGGUGUAGCGGUGAAAUGCGUAGAGAUCGGGAGGAACACCAGUGGCGAAGGCGGCCUGCUGGGCUUUAACUGACGCUCAGGCACGAAAGCAUGGGUAGCAAACAGGAUUAGAUACCCUGGUAC
RNAcentral lists this ribosomal RNA (449 nucleotides) under uncultured bacterium. RNAcentral's name for it is "partial 16S ribosomal RNA". It matches the Rfam family "Bacterial small subunit ribosomal RNA", at positions 330 to 793 of the family's 1533-position model. The record is from RNAcentral.